Molecule: unclassified non-coding RNA, 475 nt
Filed under: uncultured Bordetella sp.
Lineage: Bacteria; Pseudomonadati; Pseudomonadota; Betaproteobacteria; Burkholderiales; Alcaligenaceae
Description: partial 16S-23S ribosomal RNA intergenic spacer
Rfam family: Bacterial small subunit ribosomal RNA
Source: RNAcentral
CGGACGAUAACAGCCUACGGGACGCAGCAGUAGAAUUUUGGACAGUAGGGAAACCCUGGAUAUUCGAGUAGCUCCAGCGUCAGUCGAACCUUCAGGUUGUAAACACUUUUGGCAGGAAAGAAACGGCGCAAGGAUAUGUUGGCGACACGUGAAUGAAAAACACCUGCAGAAUAAGCGCAAACUAACCGUGCCAGCAGCCAUGAUAAUACGUAGGGUGCAAGCGUUAAUCAGAUUGUUCCACUGGGCGUAAGCGUGCGCAGGCGGUUCGGAAAGAAAGAUGAAAUCCCAGAGCUUAACUUUGGAACUGCAUUUUUAACUACGAGCUAGAGUGUGUCAGAUGGAAAUUCCGCGGCGUGCUAGCAAUCAAAUGCGUAGAUAUGCGGAGAGACACCUGAUGGCGAAGGCAGCCUCCUGGGAUAACACUGACGCUCAUGCGAAAGCGUGGGGAGCAAACAGGAUUAGAUACCCUUGUAGU